AAGAACCACCUCAGUGCUGAGCUGAAAGCCUGUUUUGCUGGGCUGGUUUAGCAGAUGGCAGCCUGAAGUCAGCUCACGUAAAUGAACUGGUUAACGAGCAGCCUGGGAGAACGCUAAGCAGUCUAGAGAUGAGAAACUCAGCAUGGGAUCACAGGAAACAACAGUGGGAGAGACCUUGACAGGCUCAAAAUAAAUUUUACCAUGUCAUUCUUACCAUCAUCACAUUGCCUCAGGACAAAUAGAAGCUGACUCUCUGAGAAACCAAUUUUCAUCUAAUGACGAUGGAACCAACUAAAUAAAACCUGAUAUUUUAAACAUUAAAGAAACAUUC
Long non-coding RNA from Aptenodytes forsteri (emperor penguin), 331 nucleotides. RefSeq lists it as uncharacterized. The record is from RefSeq and is a predicted model, not a curated record. The transcript has 3 exons. Lineage: Eukaryota; Metazoa; Chordata; Aves; Sphenisciformes; Spheniscidae.